GCUCCACCCAAGAUGAAUGUUCAAAAUCUUCAUGGUUGUCCCCCCCAAAAAACUCCCUUCAGGAAAUGCUGUUUUAUUUUCAGGUUUGGCCAGAGAAAACUUCCAGCAAGAUUACUCUACGUAUUUCCUUGAGUCUGGAGAGCACAGAAAACCCUGACUUCUCGUGCACCUUCACCACUGGAAGUGUAAAACUGUGUGACGGGUCUGAUCUGAGGGCAGUUUUUCCAAACUGCUCCUGCAGUUUUUCUGACCAGCUAAUAUAUACUACAGGUUUAAACAUCUCAGCUGAAGUGGGUCUUGGGGAACAAAAGAUCAAAGAGAAGCUGGAGCUGAAAAACUGCCUGAAUAUCAAAGAUAAUUCACCAGGGGCUUCUUAUACACAGUGUGUUCAGUGUAUCUCAUCUGGGUGUCACUGGUCCUCAUCCUCUCAGCGUUGUGAAUGGGCAGAUGGACCUGGACCAAAGUUAAACAUACAG
This is a long non-coding RNA of Carassius auratus (goldfish), 476 nucleotides long. RefSeq lists it as uncharacterized. The transcript is spliced from 4 exons. The record is from RefSeq and is a predicted model, not a curated record. Lineage: Eukaryota; Metazoa; Chordata; Actinopteri; Cypriniformes; Cyprinidae.